AUAUUUAAGUUGUUGCAUUAAAUUAUUUGGCUUACCAAUAUUUAAAUUUCGUAGUCAUUAAACUCUCACAGUGCGUUUAUCAUAAAAAACAACUCUUAGCUUCAAGUUACGUUCACAAAAGCUUCGCACACUCGACUUUUUAUGAAAAUUGUCAUAUUUCACACCGCAGAGCAGAACAGAGCGAAGCAACGAGCUGUGGCAGAGAAACAACAACAAGAACAACAACAGCAACAGGAAAGCAGCUUGAAACUUUAGCCGUGGGGCAGCCAAAAAGAGCAAAAGCAACAGCAGUUUUAAUGAUGGAAAAGCUUAAUAGUUGCCAUUAAGAAAAACGCGUGCAGGACUGAGUAAAAAUGAAAUUUCAAACUAAAAGCAUUUUGCGCCUUGAAGCAACAAAAAGCGAUGGAAAGCGGGGGCGGAGGCGGGGG
This is a long non-coding RNA of Drosophila albomicans, 428 nucleotides long. RefSeq lists it as uncharacterized. Lineage: Eukaryota; Metazoa; Arthropoda; Insecta; Diptera; Drosophilidae. The transcript is spliced from 3 exons. The record is from RefSeq and is a predicted model, not a curated record.